RNA transcript from Mirounga angustirostris (Northern elephant seal), 1103 nucleotides. It is a transcript of the gene named vomeronasal type-1 receptor 4-like, with no coding region annotated. Lineage: Eukaryota; Metazoa; Chordata; Mammalia; Carnivora; Phocidae. The transcript has a single exon. The record is from RefSeq and is a predicted model, not a curated record.
CUCAUAGAUUCGUGAAGCAUGAAGAAGUUCUCACAUGGGUGCCUUCACAGAAGUGAUUUUACCUUAUAAGGGCUCUUUAAAAGUUACACAUUCAACCUGCGGAAAACUCUUAGUAAAAGAAAAACAUUAAGUCAACAUUUCUUAGUGGAACUAAUAGUAAGUGGAGAAUAAUGGAUUUCAGUUGACAUGAUACACCUAACCUGCGCCCAUUCAAGAUCCUUUAGCUCAGAAGAUAAACUUAGUCACUGGGAACUGACAAGAUGACUGUUGGGGAUUUGGCAGUGGGGAUGAUUUCAUCAUAGACUAUGGCUGGAAUCCAGGGCAAUUUCUCUCUUCUUUACCAUUAUAUCAUCCUUUAUUUUACUGGGUGCAGGCCAAGGUCCAUAGAUUUGAUUCUCAAGCCCCUGAUUAUAGCCAACUCCUUGGGCUUUCUGCCUAAAGGAGUCCCCACAUAACGAUACCUUUUGGGUUGAGACAUUUCCUCAAUGAUUUUGGAUGCAAACUUUUUUUGUAUGUUCACAGAGUGGGCAGGGUUGUGUCCAAGGGUAGCACCUGCUUCUGGAGUGUCUUCCAGGCCAUCAUGCUCAGUCCCAGGAACUCCAGGUGGAGAGGGCUUAAAGCGAAAGCUCCCAAGUACAUAAGCACCUCCACAGCCCUGUGCUGGAUCCUGCACAGGCUGGUAAACACAAUUUUUCUUAUGUGUAUCACCGGUAAAUGGAGCAACAAAAACAUCGCAAACAGAUUUUGAAUACUGUUCUUCGGUUCGUCAUGACAAAGCCAGAGACUCAUUGUAUGCAGCAUUGUUAUCAUCCCCUGAUGUGCUGUGUUUGGGGCUCAGGCUCUGGGCCAGCAGCCGCAUGGUUUUUAUCCUGGACAGGCACAAACAGAAGGUCCAACACAUUCACAGGACCAGCGUCUCCUCCACAUCAUCUGAGUCCACAGCCACCAAAACCAUCUUUCUCCUGGUGAGCACCUUUGUCUACUUUAACAUCCUCUCCUCCAUCUUUCAAGUCAUUAUGUCUGUUUUUGAUAAUCCCAACUGGAUCUUCGGGAGCACCACUUCAGUAAUCACAGUUUCCCAACUGUCUGUUCAUAAGCCAUGA